GCGGAAGUGGUGGAAUUUGGUAGACACGCUACUUUGAGGGGGUAGUGGGCGUAAGCCUGUGGGGGUUCAAGUCCCCCCUUCCGCACCA
RNAcentral lists this transfer RNA (88 nucleotides) under Deltaproteobacteria bacterium. RNAcentral's name for it is "tRNA-Leu". It matches the Rfam family "tRNA". From Rfam's summary of the family: Transfer RNA (tRNA) molecules are approximately 80 nucleotides in length. Their secondary structure includes four short double-helical elements and three loops (D, anti-codon, and T loops). Further hydrogen bonds mediate the characteristic L-shaped molecular structure. tRNAs have two regions of fundamental functional importance: the anti-codon, which is responsible for specific mRNA codon recognition, and the 3' end, to which the tRNAs corresponding amino acid is attached (by aminoacyl-tRNA synthetases). tRNAs cope with the degeneracy of the genetic code in two manners: having more than one tRNA (with a specific anti-codon) for a particular amino acid; and 'wobble' base-pairing, i.e. permitting non-standard base-pairing at the 3rd anti-codon position. The record is from RNAcentral. RNAcentral also lists the same sequence under 2 other names. Lineage: Bacteria; Pseudomonadati; Myxococcota; Myxococcia.